GCCUGCCCUCUGGCCUUCUCAGGGAGUGCAGUACUGAUUAAAGAGAAGGCCAGCAGGUUCUCUUCUUAUUUAUCCCUAUGGUCAACAGAUCAGACAAUCAGGAUACUGGGACUGAGCAGUGUCUUCACUUGGACCCCCUGGAAGUUUGGGAAAUGUUGCUGUAUCAAUGUGCAGCUGGAGAAGCCAAAGCCUCUGAAGCAGAGCAGGCGCACUCAGAACUGGACAAGCUGGAGCAAGAGCUUCAAGCUGAGAUGGUUGAAGUUGCUCUGGAAUCACUGCAAGAGGAUCUGCAGCUCUGA
RNAcentral lists this long non-coding RNA (299 nucleotides) under Parus major (Great Tit). RNAcentral's name for it is "lncRNA (ENSPMJG00000016045.1)". The record is from RNAcentral. Lineage: Eukaryota; Metazoa; Chordata; Aves; Passeriformes; Paridae.